UACGUAGGUGGCAAGCGUUGUCCGGAAUUAUUGGGCGUAAAGGGCGUGUAGGUGGAUUCUUAAGUCGUGUGUCUAAGUGCGAAGCUCAACUUCGUAUGGGCGCAGGAAACUGGAAAUCUUGAGUGCAGGAGAGGAAAGUGGAAUUCCCAGUGUAGCGGUGAAAUGCGUAGAUAUUGGGAGGAACACCAGUGGCGAAGGCGACUUUCUGGACUGUGUCUGACACUGAGGCGCGAAAGCUAGGGGAGCGAACGGG
This 253-nucleotide ribosomal RNA is filed under the name uncultured bacterium. RNAcentral's name for it is "partial 16S ribosomal RNA". It matches the Rfam family "Bacterial small subunit ribosomal RNA", at positions 524 to 776 of the family's 1533-position model. The record is from RNAcentral.